UGGGAGUCUGUAACAGAAAUCAGGGUUUAUGUCUGCAGGCUGCAGUCACACAGAUUGCACUGUGCUGGAUACAUGAGCAGCUGGAUUUACUGAAACAGCAGCGAGACACUCAUUCAAGAUUUCACCAGCUCAUUCAAGGUGCAUGAAGAAUGCCAGUCAAAAGUCACAGUGGGUACACUAGUCAAAGAUGCUUCAUUGUGGUUAGUUUAUAUUUACAGGGAAGUUAGGUGACUAUCACCACUGGCUCACAUAAUAUGAGGACUGAGUGAAAAGAACCAGGACUAUUGCCCUUAGACCAAAAAGGUGAAGACUGCAGACACAAACAGGAAAUAAAGUUGGAAGUGCAAGAAAGAAUCUGUUUCUUUUGAACUGCUGCUGGAUAUAGUUCACUAUGAGUGUUGAUGUGAAGGCACCAAAAAUUUGAAGAUGAACCCCUAUGUCACCUCUCAGUUCAGGAAAGAUCUCUUUCCUCACUUUCAUUUGUUGCUGUUUUUUUGAGUU
This is a long non-coding RNA of Colossoma macropomum (tambaqui), 501 nucleotides long. RefSeq lists it as uncharacterized. The transcript is spliced from 3 exons. NCBI's taxonomy places the organism in Eukaryota, Metazoa, Chordata, Actinopteri, Characiformes, Serrasalmidae. The record is from RefSeq and is a predicted model, not a curated record.